This 354-nucleotide ribosomal RNA is filed under the name Phoronis vancouverensis. Its description in RNAcentral is "partial 12S ribosomal RNA". Lineage: Eukaryota; Metazoa; Phoronida; Phoronidae. The record is from RNAcentral.
UAUUUUCUAUAAAUGAUUGUACUAGAGUACUAAGAACAAUAGUUUAAAACUCAAAAGACUUGGCGGCAAGUUUAAACUUUCAGGGGAGCCUGUUUUUGAACCGAUAAUCCACGUUUUACCUUACUUCUUAAAGCAGUUUGUUUAUUGCCGUUUAGCUAACACUAUAAAAGUUAAAAGAAGUUAGCUACAAAGAUAUUUAUCUUUUAUAUCAGGUCGUGGUGCAGCCUAUGAAGAAGUUAAAAUGGGCUACAAUAUAUAAAUUUAUACGGAUUAAAAAUUGAAAUAUUUUUAUGAAGGUGGACUUGAAAAUAAAUUUAAGUAGAGGAAAAUAGAUUGAAUUCUUCUUAGACUGUG